This 1358-nucleotide ribosomal RNA is filed under the name uncultured bacterium. RNAcentral's name for it is "bacterial SSU rRNA". It matches the Rfam family "Bacterial small subunit ribosomal RNA", at positions 28 to 1381 of the family's 1533-position model. The record is from RNAcentral.
GAUGAACGCUAGCUACAGGCUUAACACAUGCAAGUCGAGGGGCAGCAUGGUCUUAGCUUGCUAAGGCCGAUGGCGACCGGCGCACGGGUGAGUAACACGUAUCCAACCUGCCGUCUACUCUUGGACAGCCUUCUGAAAGGAAGAUUAAUACAAGAUGGCAUCAUGAGUCCGCAUGUUCACAUGAUUAAAGGUAUUCCGGUAGACGAUGGGGAUGCGUUCCAUUAGAUAGUAGGCGGGGUAACGGCCCACCUAGUCUUCGAUGGAUAGGGGUUCUGAGAGGAAGGUCCCCCACAUUGGAACUGAGACACGGUCCAAACUCCUACGGGAGGCAGCAGUGAGGAAUAUUGGUCAAUGGGCGAGAGCCUGAACCAGCCAAGUGGCGUGAAGGAUGACUGCCCUAUGGGUUGUAAACUUCUUUUAUAAAGGAAUAAAGUCGGGUAUGCAUACCCGUUUGCAUGUACUUUAUGAAUAAGGAUCGGCUAACUCCGUGCCAGCAGCCGCGGUAAUACGGAGGAUCCGAGCGUUAUCCGGAUUUAUUGGGUUUAAAGGGAGCGUAGAUGGAUGUUUAAGUCAGUUGUGAAAGUUUGCGGCUCAACCGUAAAAUUGCAGUUGAUACUGGAUAUCUUGAGUGCAGUUGAGGCAGGCGGAAUUCGUGGUGUAGCGGUGAAAUGCUUAGAUAUCACGAAGAACUCCGAUUGCGAAGGCAGCCUGCUAAGCUGCAACUGACAUUGAGGCUCGAAAGUGUGGGUAUCAAACAGGAUUAGAUACCCUGGUAGUCCACACGGUAAACGAUGAAUACUCGCUGUUUGCGAUAUACGGCAAGCGGCCAAGCGAAAGCGUUAAGUAUUCCACCUGGGGAGUACGCCGGCAACGGUGAAACUCAAAGGAAUUGACGGGGGCCCGCACAAGCGGAGGAACAUGUGGUUUAAUUCGAUGAUACGCGAGGAACCUUACCCGGGCUUAAAUUGCAGAUGAAUUACGGUGAAAGCCGUAAGCCGCAAGGCAUCUGUGAAGGUGCUGCAUGGUUGUCGUCAGCUCGUGCCGUGAGGUGUCGGCUUAAGUGCCAUAACGAGCGCAACCCUUGUUGUCAGUUACUAACAGGUUCCGCUGAGGACUCUGACAAGACUGCCAUCGUAAGAUGUGAGGAAGGUGGGGAUGACGUCAAAUCAGCACGGCCCUUACGUCCGGGGCUACACACGUGUUACAAUGGGGGGUACAGAGGGCCGCUACCACGCGAGUGGAUGCCAAUCCCCAAAACCUCUCUCAGUUCGGACUGGAGUCUGCAACCCGACUCCACGAAGCUGGAUUCGCUAGUAAUCGCGCAUCAGCCACGGCGCGGUGAAUACGUUCCCGGGCCU